This 608-nucleotide ribosomal RNA is filed under the name Enterobacter asburiae. Its description in RNAcentral is "bacterial SSU rRNA". It matches the Rfam family "Bacterial small subunit ribosomal RNA", at positions 555 to 1164 of the family's 1533-position model. Lineage: Bacteria; Pseudomonadati; Pseudomonadota; Gammaproteobacteria; Enterobacterales; Enterobacteriaceae. The record is from RNAcentral.
UGGGCGUAAGCGCACGCAGGCGGUCUGUCAAGUCGGAUGUGAAAUCCCCGGGCUCAACCUGGGAACUGCAUUCGAAACUGGCAGGCUAGAGUCUUGUAGAGGGGGGUAGAAUUCCAGGUGUAGCGGUGAAAUGCGUAGAGAUCUGGAGGAAUACCGGUGGCGAAGGCGGCCCCCUGGACAAAGACUGACGCUCAGGUGCGAAAGCGUGGGGAGCAAACAGGAUUAGAUACCCUGGUAGUCCACGCCGUAAACGAUGUCGACUUGGAGGUUGUGCCCUUGAGGCGUGGCUUCCGGAGCUAACGCGUUAAGUCGACCGCCUGGGGAGUACGGCCGCAAGGUUAAAACUCAAAUGAAUUGACGGGGGCCCGCACAAGCGGUGGAGCAUGUGGUUUAAUUCGAUGCAACGCGAAGAACCUUACCUACUCUUGACAUCCAGAGAACUUUGCAGAGAUGGAUUGGUGCCUUCGGGAACUCUGAGACAGGUGCUGCAUGGCUGUCGUCAGCUCGUGUUGUGAAAUGUUGGGUUAAGUCCCGCAACGAGCGCAACCCUUAUCCUUUGUUGCCAGCGGUUAGGCCGGGAACUCAAAGGAGACUGCCAGUGAUAAACU